UCCUCCCCUUCCAGGCUCUCACUGCCUCAAUAACCACUCCUCACCCAUAUCCUCCUACUUUCUUGCAUAUGGCCUGAGUACAUACAUGCCCAUGAGAGAGUGACAAAGAACUUUCAACCCCUCAGCAACUUGGGGGCUCAGCACAGCCCUGGUGGGGGGGGGGGGUGCGCAUGACCCAGAAUUCUCACUUCCUGGGAGGAGGCAGCCUUCUGAGCAGGGGUGACCCCUGUGGGGAAACAAUGGCUGAAUGAGGGUGGGCCUGUGUGUUGGUGUUAGUGUGGGUCUAUGUGGAGGAAGGGCAUUAUGGGCAAGAUUGCCAAGGUCUACUGAUUAAGGAUGCCACAUAUAUAAGGGGGGUGCUGUUUACAACACAGACAUAAUUGAAUUAUAUACUUAUUAUGACAAAAUUGUGGCAGAUGGCAGUAAAAGACCUCAUUCUAGUAAAAAUUGUGCAUCAUGACAAUUUUUCGGCAUAUGGCAAUUAAGUGUCUGGAGGGGAGUGCCUUUUCCUAACCCAGCACAAAGAUACCAUAUGGACCAGCUGCAGCUCUGGGCACAGGCUUGAAAAUCUGGUGGCUUUGGUUUUCCCUGUGAGGCAGAUUCUAGGUUAAACAAUCAAGAGAAGCCACAUCCAGACCUGACAUAAAUCAUGAGAUCCUGCUGUUAUGACUGGAUGAGACUUUGGGAGUCUUGGGGAUAAGUGUAUUUUCUAUGUGAGAGGGAUGUGAAUAAAUGUAGUCAAGAGAGUGGA
Long non-coding RNA from Neofelis nebulosa (Clouded leopard), 751 nucleotides. RefSeq lists it as uncharacterized. Lineage: Eukaryota; Metazoa; Chordata; Mammalia; Carnivora; Felidae. The transcript is spliced from 2 exons. The record is from RefSeq and is a predicted model, not a curated record.